CUAGCGACUUCAGAGUUUGAUCCGUGGCUCAGGACGAACGCUGGCGGCGUGCCUAACACAUGCAAGUCGAACGGAGCUUGACCCUUCGGGUUAAGCUUAGUGGCGAACGGGUGAGUAACGCGUGAGGAACCUGCCUUUCAUGGGGGACAACAGUUGGAAACGACUGCUAAUACCGCAUAAUGUAUUUUGGGGACAUCCCCUGAAUACCAAAGCUUUAUGUGCUGAAAGAUGGCCUCGCGUCUGAUUAGCUAGUUGGUGGGGUAACGGCCCACCAAGGCGACGAUCAGUAGCCGGUCUGAGAGGAUGAACGGCCACAUUGGGACUGAGAUACGGCCCAG
RNAcentral lists this ribosomal RNA (338 nucleotides) under uncultured bacterium. RNAcentral's name for it is "bacterial SSU rRNA". It matches the Rfam family "Bacterial small subunit ribosomal RNA", at positions 1 to 334 of the family's 1533-position model. The record is from RNAcentral.